RNAcentral lists this transfer RNA (73 nucleotides) under Aspidoscelis tigris. Its description in RNAcentral is "tRNA-Asn". Lineage: Eukaryota; Metazoa; Chordata; Lepidosauria; Squamata; Teiidae. The record is from RNAcentral.
CUGGAUAAGCGGGCCUCGAUCCCGCGAAAAUUUAAUUAACAGCUAAAAACCCAAGCCAGCGGGCUUUUAUCCA